This 449-nucleotide ribosomal RNA is filed under the name uncultured Desulfobulbus sp. Its description in RNAcentral is "bacterial SSU rRNA". It matches the Rfam family "Bacterial small subunit ribosomal RNA", at positions 936 to 1382 of the family's 1533-position model. Lineage: Bacteria; Pseudomonadati; Thermodesulfobacteriota; Desulfobulbia; Desulfobulbales; Desulfobulbaceae. The record is from RNAcentral.
AGUAUGUGGUUUAAUUCGAUGCAACGCGAGAACUUACCUGGUCUUGACAUCCCGGAGACCCUUAGGAAACUAGGGGUGCUUCCAUCUGGAAGAAUCUGGAGACAGGUGCUGCAUGGCUGUCGUCAGCUCGUGUCGUGAGAUGUUGGGUUAAGUCCCGCAACGAGCGCAACCCUUGCCUUUAGUUGCCAGCAGUUCGGCUGGGCACUCUAAAGGGACUGCCGGUGUUAAACCGGAGGAAGGUGGGGAUGACGUCAAGUCCUCAUGGCCUUUAUGACCAGGGCUACACACGUACUACAAUGGCCGAUACAAAGGGCAGCGACACUGCGAGGUGAAGCCAAUCCCGUAAAAUCGGUCUCAGUCCGGAUUGGAGUCUGCAACUCGACUCCAUGAAGUUGGAAUCGCUAGUAAUCGUGGAUCAGCAUGCCACGGUGAAUACGUUCCCGGGCCUU